GGAGAACGCGACCACAACGUGGCGCCCAGUUGAGGGGGAACCCUUGCGAAAUACGGAGAGGCGCUCCCACACCCUCCAAUCUCCAACCACCACUGUCAACUCCUCCAGAGGCAGGUAUCCUACCCCGGCCCUGGGAGGCCGACUGGGCGGAGCUUGGGGUCCGGACCACGCGGAGCCCUGGCAGUGUCUAUGCCUAGAUCUCGCCGCCCUGCCGUCCACCCAUUUCUCCCUACCUGACUCGGCCGUCGCCACCAACGCGCUCUCCCAACCCUCGGAGUCAGUUCCAAAACCAAACCAAAAAGGAGGAGAGCAGACAAGGCUUCAGCCUGCGACUGAGAACAGGGAGGCGGCACGCCUUGGGGAACGAGGGCCCGAGGCCAUACGCGCUAAUACAGGCCAGUGUCGGCGUAAACUUUCUCCGUUACCGGCCCGGCCGCGACCGCCAUGUUUCCGCCGCCGAAAUCCGCGACGGUACGGAACGCCGCCGGGGUCAAACUGCGCGGCGCGCCUCCUUCCCGAGGCCCGGCCCCCUCCCCGCCCAAACCCGCGCGCCGCCACACACUCAGGUGAGCAAGGCGCUGCGCGAGUGUCAACUGCCCCACCUAAGGCGCCUGCCUUCCUCAAGCCAAAGUCGACUCCUGGGACCUGGAAUCAGCAGCUGAGAACAGACAGCGGGAAGACCACCAAAGAUCAGGCUGACAGUGCCCAUCAAGCAUCUAGGCCACCGCCUCGGGCUGGACCGAACGGGGACAGGGUGGACAGGACUGCCACGCGUGGGCUGUAAAUACUGCGGGAGGCGUUGCUGCUCAUUAAUAUAUAUGGCAUAAUAUAUGGCUUUGUAACCAGCUAAGGCCCAAGCUCCUUAGGCCCUCCCUCAGACCUUUCAGUUCCUCAAAUGCAGGGACAUGUCGGGUUUUGCUCAACAUUAAAUCACCUUAGCAUAGUGCCUGACACAUAGUUGGCACUUAAAUAUUUGUAAAAUAAUAAUAUGCAAUAGGCUCUCCACGAUCCGUAGUUCUCUCCUCCCACUUGUUUUGCAUGUAUUAUCUAUAUAUUUUUCCUAUUUUCCAUAAUAGAGUGUGAAUUUCCUAAUUUUCAUAAUAGAUGUUGGGGGUUGGUGUGGCCAGCACAUCUAUAGGAAUGAACAACUCUCAGAUUGAGAUUCUGCAUAUGUGGAUGAAAAUUUUGAGUUAGAUUCUCUCUAGACUCCUGAUUUUAAAAGCAAUCACAACUCAACUUCCCAAAUCUGUAACUAGCUCUCUGGGGAACACGAGUGCCACAUUUCCAACUACCUGCUAGAUGUUUCUACUCAAAUAUAUUGUCAUCACUUCCAACUCAACUUGCCUUUAAUGGACAUUUAUAUACAUUUAUUAUGCCCCCCAUUUGAAUCCCCUUCCGUAUUUGGAGAAUUCCCCACCUGAGUUAAGAGUCUAAUGGCUGCCGCUGAAAUGCUGAACACUUGUUUAACUAAUCAUGUGUACCCGCUGGAAGCCAUGAGUCAAAAAAGGCACAGAAAGCUACACUCCCAGGUCACCUGUAGGAGUAUAGCAAGUGUAGAGAUCGAGAACCCAUCCCUAACAGCAAGGUAAGCUUCCGAGGCAGUAGUGAGAGUGCUGGCAUCCACCAUUAACAUGUCAGAGAUGCAAGAUGCCUGUGCUUGGUGAGGGUCACAACCCCAGAGCCCUUUCCCAAUCUGUUCUGUAGCCUGUUAACAGUCUCUGUGUACAUUUCUGGGUAGCCUGUGACAGACUCUGUACUACAUAGCUGUGAGGCAGGACAAUAGGGUCUGGAGGCAAGGAACUUACGGCUGAUUCAUGCUGACUUUCUAGAACUAAAUCAAAAGGAAAGCCCCAACUUUCCACAGCUAAGUAACAAAGGGACCCGGCCCCCUCCCCCACCACCGCCCUUUUCUGCGUGGCAGACGGAAAAUUGAAAGUACCUCGGAUUGGUUGCUUUCCAUAACUAAUUAAAUGUUUGCAUAGGGUGUAACCUUUGUAACUUCGCUUCAGGCUCUGAUUGGUUGCUUUCCGCUAUCAGACUGAUUGUGGGCCACUAUAUUUGCGUGGGGUGUACACCAAGUGGCCAAUGGGAAACCUCUAGAGGGUGUUUAUACCCCAGAAAAUUCUAUAACCCGGCCGCCCCGCUCUUGAGCCCCAUGUUCCGGCUCUUCACACCCUGUGGAGUGUACUUUCAUUUUCAAUAAAUCUCUGCUUUUGUUGCUUCAUUCCUUCCUUGCUUUGUUUGUGCGUUUUGUCUAAUUCCUUGUUCAAGAUGCCAAGAACCUGGACACCUUCCACCGGUAACAGCCAAGGUAGAUUCUGGCCAUGUAGGUGCAAGCCUCAAUCUCCAGCUAUCCUUUGAACUACUUAGCGUCCUCUAGUAAACUUACUUUCUGCUUAAAUUAGCUACAGCUGCAUUCAGUUGCUUAGCACUAAGACCAGCUCACUAAAUCAGUGGUUUUUCAUCAUCUUCCUCUAACAUGGUCUUCUGCCUUAUGACUUUAAAACCAUUUUUGAUGCUUGUUAUCUUGUCCUUAUACUUUAGAAUACUUCAGUGAGAUGUGUGUAUGUUUGAAAGUUAAUCUGCACAGCCCAGGGUGGGUAAUUAGCAUUUGAAAGACUAAUCAAAAAUGUUCACUGCAGAGUUGAAUGCACAGAUGCUUCCAGUAUCACCAUGUAAAUCUGCACUAGAUGUACCUUAGUUAGCAUAAAGGAUUAGAAAGAAUUCUUCAUUGUGGAAACAAGAUGUUCAAAAUACGUGGCUGGUUAGAAUACUGUACAAGCACUUAUGCAUAACUGUGGCGUAGAAAUCUGCUGUGUAGCAGACCGACAGCCUUCAGAAUGGCUUAGUCUAGACUUCUGUUUAAUAUUUUGCCACAAAGUACUGUUUGUGUACUGUUUUUUGUGUCUGCUUGCUGAUAAGAUUUGUGUAGUAGCAUUCAGUCUGAGACUUGUUUUAACUGUAUGACACUACCUAGUACCGAGGGAGGAGAAAGAUAGCCUUGUCAAUCUUUAGUUAUUGAAGGAUACCAGUAUUUACCAAAAAAAAUUUGACACUUAUGAAUGACCAAGUGCUGUUCAUUUUCAUCCACCCUAUCUCUUGCAUUUAUUAUUUCCCAUCAACUUCUAUUGCUUCUACUCUGUUACGGUAUUACUUCAGUAACCUCUAUGCUGGUCAUCUUGAUUUCAGCCUCAGCUCAGUCUAACCCAUUACACAGGCCCCUGGCUGAUGCUCUC
RNAcentral lists this long non-coding RNA (3236 nucleotides) under Homo sapiens (human). Its description in RNAcentral is "non-protein coding lnc-LSMEM1-6:1". Lineage: Eukaryota; Metazoa; Chordata; Mammalia; Primates; Hominidae. The record is from RNAcentral.